This 592-nucleotide ribosomal RNA is filed under the name Hanseniaspora uvarum. RNAcentral describes it as "eukaryotic LSU rRNA". It matches the Rfam family "Eukaryotic large subunit ribosomal RNA", at positions 43 to 651 of the family's 3401-position model. Lineage: Eukaryota; Fungi; Ascomycota; Saccharomycetes; Saccharomycodales; Saccharomycodaceae. The record is from RNAcentral.
ACAAUAAGCGGAGGAAAAGAAACCAACUGGGAUUACCUUAGUAACGGCGAGUGAAGCGGUAAAAGCUCAAAUUUGAAAUCUGGUACUUUCAGUGCCCGAGUUGUAAUUUGUAGAAUUUGUCUUUGAUUAGGUCCUUGUCUAUGUUCCUUGGAACAGGACGUCAUAGAGGGUGAGAAUCCCGUUUGGCGAGGAUACCUUUUCUCUGUAAGACUUUUUCGAAGAGUCGAGUUGUUUGGGAAUGCAGCUCAAAGUGGGUGGUAAAUUCCAUCUAAAGCUAAAUAUUGGCGAGAGACCGAUAGCGAACAAGUACAGUGAUGGAAAGAUGAAAAGAACUUUGAAAAGAGAGUGAAAAAGUACGUGAAAUUGUUGAAAGGGAAGGGCAUUUGAUCAGACAUGGUGUUUUUUGCAUGCACUCGCCUCUCGUGGGCUUGGGCCUCUCAAAAAUUUCACUGGGCCAACAUCAAUUCUGGCAGCAGGAUAAAUCAUUAAGAAUGUAGCUACUUCGGUAGUGUUAUAGCUUUUUGGAAUACUGUUAGCCGGGAUUGAGGACUGCGCUUCGGCAAGGAUGUUGGCAUAAUGGUUAAUGCCCGAG